AAUAGAUACCCCGGUAGUCCACGCCGUAAACGGUGGGCACUAGGUGUGGGCGACAUUCCACGUCGUCCGUGCCGCAGCUAACGCAUUAAGUGCCCCGCCUGGGGAGUACGGCCGCAAGGCUAAAACUCAAGGGAAUUGACGGGGGCCCGCACAAGCGGCGGAGCAUGUGGCUUAAUUCGACGCAACGCGAAGAACCUUACCAAGGCUUGACAUACACCGGAAACGUCCAGAGAUGGGCGCCCCCUUGUGGUCGGUGUACAGGUGGUGCAUGGCUGUCGUCAGCUCGUGUCGUGAGAUGUUGGGUUAAGUCCCGCAACGAGCGCAACCCUUGUCCCGUGUUGCCAGCAGGCCCUUGUGGUGCUGGGGACUCACGGGAGACCGCCGGGGUCAACGUCGGAGGAAGGUGGGGACGACGUCAAGUCAUCAUGCCCUUAUGUCUUGGGCUGCACACGUGCUACAAUGGCCGGUACAAUGAGCUGCGAUACCGCGAGGUGGAGCGAAUCUCAAAAAGCCGGUCUCAGUUCGGAUUGGGGU
RNAcentral lists this ribosomal RNA (534 nucleotides) under uncultured bacterium. Its description in RNAcentral is "bacterial SSU rRNA". It matches the Rfam family "Bacterial small subunit ribosomal RNA", at positions 777 to 1304 of the family's 1533-position model. The record is from RNAcentral.